This is a small nuclear RNA of Ailuropoda melanoleuca (giant panda), 103 nucleotides long. The record is from Ensembl. Lineage: Eukaryota; Metazoa; Chordata; Mammalia; Carnivora; Ursidae.
GUGCUUGCUUCUGUAGCACAUAUACUAAAUUGAAAUCAUACAGAGAUUAGCAUGGCCCCCAUGCAAGGAUGACAUGCAAACUCGUUAAGCAUUCAAUAUUAAA